UACGGAGGGUGCAAGCGUUGCUCGGAAUCAUUGGGCGUAAAGCGCACGUAGGCGGCUCGUUAAGUCGGAUGUGAAAGCCCCGGGCUCAACCCGGGAAGUGCACUCGAAACUGGCGAGCUUGAGUAUGGAAGAGGGUCUCGGAAUUCCCGGUGUAGAGGUGAAAUUCGUAGAUAUCGGGAGGAACACCAGUGGCGAAGGCGGAGACCUGGGCCAAUACUGACGCUGAGAUGCGAAAGCGUGGGGAGCAAACAGG
RNAcentral lists this ribosomal RNA (253 nucleotides) under uncultured bacterium. Its description in RNAcentral is "partial 16S ribosomal RNA". It matches the Rfam family "Bacterial small subunit ribosomal RNA", at positions 524 to 776 of the family's 1533-position model. The record is from RNAcentral.